This 468-nucleotide ribosomal RNA is filed under the name uncultured Actinomycetes bacterium. RNAcentral describes it as "SSU rRNA". It matches the Rfam family "Bacterial small subunit ribosomal RNA", at positions 242 to 722 of the family's 1533-position model. Lineage: Bacteria; Bacillati; Actinomycetota; Actinomycetes. The record is from RNAcentral.
CAGCUUGUUGGUGAGGUAACGGCUCACCAAGGCUUCGACGGGUAGCCGGCCUGAGAGGGCGACCGGCCACACUGGGACUGAGAUACGGCCCAGACUCCUACGGGAGGCAGCAGUGGGGAAUAUUGCACAAUGGGCGCAAGCCUGAUGCAGCAACGCCGCGUGCGGGAUGACGGCCUUCGGGUUGUAAACCGCUUUCAGUUCCGACGAAGCGCAAGUGACGGUAGGAACAGAAGAAGGACCGGCCAACUACGUGCCAGCAGCCGCGGUGAUACGUAGGGUCCGAGCGUUGUCCGGAAUUAUUGGGCGUAAAGGGCUUGUAGGCGGUUUGUCACGUCGAAAGUGAAAACUCAGGGCUUAACCCUGAGCCUGCUUCCGAUACGGGCAAACUAGAGGGAUGCAGGGGAGAAUGGAAUUCCUGGUGGAGCGGUGGAAUGCGCAGAUAUCAAGAGGAACACCGGUGGCGAAAGC